RNAcentral lists this ribosomal RNA (443 nucleotides) under Klebsiella pneumoniae. RNAcentral describes it as "partial 23S ribosomal RNA". It matches the Rfam family "Bacterial large subunit ribosomal RNA", at positions 1 to 474 of the family's 2925-position model. The record is from RNAcentral. Lineage: Bacteria; Pseudomonadati; Pseudomonadota; Gammaproteobacteria; Enterobacterales; Enterobacteriaceae.
GGGUUGUGAGGUUAAGCGACUAAGCGUACACGGUGGAUGCCCUGGCAGUCAGAGGCGAUGAAGGACGUGCUAAUCUGCGAAAAGCGUCGGUAAGGUGAUAUGAACCGUUACAGCCGGCGAUGUCCGAAUGGGGAAACCCAGUGCAAUUCGUUGCACUAUCGUUAACUGAAUACAUAGGUUAACGAGGCGAACCGGGGGAACUGAAACAUCUAAGUACCCCGAGGAAAAGAAAUCAACCGAGAUUCCCCCAGUAGCGGCGAGCGAACGGGGAGCAGCCCAGAGUCUGAAUCAGCUUGUGUGUUAGUGGAACGGUCUGGAAAGUCCGACGGUACAGGGUGAUAGUCCCGUACACCAAAAUGCACAGGUUGUGAACUCGAAGAGUAGGGCGGGACACGUGGUAUCCUGUCUGAAUAUGGGGGGACCAUCCUCCAAGGCUAAAUACU